RNAcentral lists this ribosomal RNA (440 nucleotides) under uncultured bacterium. RNAcentral's name for it is "partial 16S ribosomal RNA". It matches the Rfam family "Bacterial small subunit ribosomal RNA", at positions 338 to 795 of the family's 1533-position model. The record is from RNAcentral.
CCUACGGGUGGCAGCAGUGGGGAAUAUUGCACAAUGGGGGAAACCCUGAUGCAGCGACGCCGCGGGGUUGAGGAAGUAUUUCGGUAUGUAAGGCUCUAUCAGCAGGGAGGAAACUGACGGUACCUGCCUAAGAAGCCCCGGCUAACUACGUGCCGGCAGCCGCGGUAAUACGUAGGGGGCAAGCGUUAUCCGGAUUUACUGGGUGUAAAGGGAGGGUAGACGGAAUAACAAGUCUGAUGUGAAAACCCGGGGCUCAACUCCGGGAGUGCAUUGGAAACUUUUGAUCUAGAGUGUCGGAGAGGCAAGCGGAAGUCCUAGUGUAGCGGUGAAAUGCGUAGAUAUUAGGAGGAACACCAGUGGCGAAGGCGGCUUGCUGGACGAUGACUGACGUUGAGGCUCGAAAGCGUGGGGAGCAAACAGGAUUAGAUACCCCAGUAGUC